GAUGAACGCUGGCGGCGUGCCUAACACAUGCAAGUCGAGCGAACAGACGAGGCGCUUGCUCCUCUGACGUUAGCGGCGGACGGGUGAGUAACACGUGGAUAACCUACCUAUAAGACUGGGAUAACUUCGGGAAACCGGAGCUAAUACCGGAUAAUAUACUGAACCGCAUGGUUCAAUAGUGAAAGACGGCUUUGCUGGCACUUAUAGAUGGAUCUGGGCCGUUUUAGCUGGUUGGUAAGGUAACGGCCUACCAAGGCAACGAUGCGUAGCCGACCGGAGGGGGGGGUAGGCCACCCGGGAGCGGGAACGGGCUCCAGACGCCUACGGGAGGCAGCAGAGGGGAAUCUUCGGCAGUGGGGGAAAACCUGACGGAGCAAGGCGGCGUGGGUGAUAAAGGUCUUGGGUUCGUAAAACCCGGUUUUGGGGGAGAAACAGAUUUGUAAUUAAAUGUGCACGUCGUGACGGUACCUAAUCAGAAAGCCACGGCUAACUACGUG
RNAcentral lists this ribosomal RNA (497 nucleotides) under uncultured bacterium. RNAcentral describes it as "partial 16S ribosomal RNA". It matches the Rfam family "Bacterial small subunit ribosomal RNA", at positions 28 to 507 of the family's 1533-position model. The record is from RNAcentral.